RNAcentral lists this ribosomal RNA (253 nucleotides) under uncultured bacterium. RNAcentral's name for it is "partial 16S ribosomal RNA". It matches the Rfam family "Bacterial small subunit ribosomal RNA", at positions 524 to 776 of the family's 1533-position model. The record is from RNAcentral.
GACGUAGGAGGCGAGCGUUGUCCGGAUUCAUUGGGCGUAAAGAGCGCGCAGGCGGCUUGGUAAGUCGGAUGUGAAAUCCCGAGGCUCAACCUCGGGUCUGCAUCCGAUACUGCCCGGCUAGAGGUAGGUAGGGGAGAUCGGAAUUCCUGGUGUAGCGGUGAAAUGCGCAGAUAUCAGGAGGAACACCGGUGGCGAAGGUGGAUCUCUGGGCCUUACCUGACGCUCAGGCGCGAAAGCUAGGGGAGCGAACAGG